CUCCUACGGGAGGCAGCAGUAGGGAAUCUUCCACAAUGGACGAAAGUCUGAUGGAGCAACGCCGCGUGAGUGAUGAAGGGUUUCGGCUCGUAAAACUCUGUUGUUAAAGAAGAACAAGUGUUAGAGUAACUGUUAACACUUUGACGGUAUUUAACCAGAAAGCCACGGCUAACUACGUGCCAGCAGCCGCGGUAAU
RNAcentral lists this ribosomal RNA (196 nucleotides) under uncultured bacterium. RNAcentral describes it as "partial 16S ribosomal RNA". It matches the Rfam family "Bacterial small subunit ribosomal RNA", at positions 336 to 524 of the family's 1533-position model. The record is from RNAcentral.